RNAcentral lists this transfer RNA (77 nucleotides) under Fidelibacterota bacterium. Its description in RNAcentral is "tRNA-Val". It matches the Rfam family "tRNA". Rfam says of the family: Transfer RNA (tRNA) molecules are approximately 80 nucleotides in length. The record is from RNAcentral. Lineage: Bacteria; Pseudomonadati; Fidelibacterota.
GGGCGAUUAGCUCAGCUGGUUAGAGCAUCUGCUCGACAUGUAGAGGGUCGGGAGUUCGAAUCUCUCAUCGCCCACAA